CCUACGGGUGGCAGCAGUGGGGAAUAUUGCGCAAUGGUCGAAAGCCUGACGCAGCGACGCCGCGUGAGGGAUGAAGGUCUUCGGAACGUAAAACUCUGUUAGCAGGGAAGAACGGUCACUGUGCUAAUCAGCAGUGAGUUUACGGUACCUGCAAAGGAAGCAUCGGCUAACUCCGUGCCAGGAGCCGCGGUAAUACGGAGGGUGCGAGUGGUAAUAGGAAUUACUGGGCGUAAAGGGCGCGUAGGUGGUAUGUCAAGGCCAGGGUGAAGUCCCCGGGCUGCACGCGGGAACUGCCUUUGAAACUGGCAGACUGGAGUUUGUGAGAGGGAUGCGGAAUUCCCGGUGUAGGGGUGAAAUCCGUAGAUAUCUGGAGGAACAUCGAUGGCGAAGGCAGCAAUCCGGCUCCUCACUGACGCUGAGGAGCGAAAGCGUGGGUAGCAAACAGGAUUAGAUACCCUAGUAGUC
Molecule: ribosomal RNA, 465 nt
Filed under: uncultured bacterium
Lineage: Bacteria
Description: partial 16S ribosomal RNA
Rfam family: Bacterial small subunit ribosomal RNA
Source: RNAcentral